RNAcentral lists this small RNA (46 nucleotides) under Acidobacteriia bacterium SbA2. RNAcentral describes it as "Solibacteres bacterium SbA2 Acido-Lenti-1". It matches the Rfam family "Acido-Lenti-1 RNA". The record is from RNAcentral. Lineage: Bacteria; Pseudomonadati; Acidobacteriota; Terriglobia.
CCCACGGCUCACGCCGUGGGCUACUUCCUGCCGCCGCUCCGCGGCU